Molecule: ribosomal RNA, 253 nt
Filed under: uncultured bacterium
Lineage: Bacteria
Also listed under: 1 other name
Description: partial 16S ribosomal RNA
Rfam family: Bacterial small subunit ribosomal RNA
Source: RNAcentral
AACGUAGGGGGCGAGCGUUGUCCGGAAUUACUGGGCGUAAAGGGCGCGUAGGCGGUUAUUUAAGUCAGAGGUGAAAACUACCGGCUCAACCGGUAGCCUGCCUUUGAAACUGGAUGACUUGAGGGCAGGAGAGGGGAGUGGAAUUCCCAGUGUAGCGGUGAAAUGCGUAGAUAUUGGGAGGAACACCAGUGGCGAAGGCGGCUCUCUGGCCUGUUUCUGACGCUGAGGCGCGAAAGCGUGGGGAGCAAACGGG